GACCGGGUAGCUCAGUCGGUAGAGCGUUAGGCUUUUAACCUAACGCUCCAGGGUUCGAGCCCCUGCCCGGGUGAGUGCUCA
Molecule: transfer RNA, 81 nt
Filed under: Rhipicephalus sanguineus (brown dog tick)
Lineage: Eukaryota; Metazoa; Arthropoda; Arachnida; Ixodida; Ixodidae
Description: transfer RNA lysine (anticodon UUU)
Rfam family: tRNA
About the family: Transfer RNA (tRNA) molecules are approximately 80 nucleotides in length.
Source: RNAcentral